CCUAUGGGUGGCUGCAGUAAGGAAUAUUGGUCAAUGGACGCAAGUCUGAACCAGCCAUGCCGCGUGGAGGAUGAAGGUCCUCUGGAUUGUAAACUUCUUUUAUUUGGGAAGAAACUCCCGAUUUCCAUCGGGAUUGACGGUACCAGAUGAAUAAGCACCGGCUAACUCCGUGCCAGCAGCCGCGGUAAUACGGAGGGUGCAAGCGUUACUCGGAUUCACGGGGGCGUAGGGGGGCAGGUAAGGGCGGGUAGAAAUCUCCGGGCUUAACCCGGAAACUGCCAUUGAUACUAUUUGUCUUGAAUACUCUGGAGGUGAGCGGAAUAUGUCAUGUAGCGGUGAAAUGCUUAGAUAUGACAUAGAACACCCAUUGCGAAGGCAGCUCACUACGGAAAUAUUGACGCUGAGGCACGAAAGCGUGGGGAUCAAACAGGAUUAGAUACCCUGGUAGUC
This 450-nucleotide ribosomal RNA is filed under the name uncultured bacterium. Its description in RNAcentral is "partial 16S ribosomal RNA". It matches the Rfam family "Bacterial small subunit ribosomal RNA", at positions 338 to 795 of the family's 1533-position model. The record is from RNAcentral.